CUCUUAAUCCACUGGCAACUACAGCAUCUUGGUUGUCAGACUAAACCAUCAAUAUCCAGCAAACAAAUUCAUCUCCUCAACCAUUACCAAUUUAUCAUAAGGCUAAAACGUUGUUGGAAGUCUCUAAUCAAUUUAGACCUGAAACAACUCAAUACACAAAAGGAAAGAACAACAUCACCAUAAGUAAGUUAAAAAGACAGCAAUGCCAGCAAAUCCCAUUGACAAAACCUAAAAAAGGACACGACCCAUGUGAUUUUUUUGGCUCAAAAAUAGACAAAUUUGCAUCUAGGUCAAACAUUUUCUAAACAAUUAAUAUUUCCCAACAUAGUACCAAGUCAAAAGAAGGGCAAAAAGAAAAAAAAAUCAAAUUUUGAUCUAAAGCAAUGCGGAGCGGGAUCUGAUCUGAGUUAAAAACAAAAAAAAAUGAAAUAACUUAAAAGCAAAUCUGGUUACCCUUUUGAAAACCCAAGUGCAUAGAUCCAAAGUCGGAACUCAACGAUCAAUAAUAACCAAAUAAAUGAAUUUUCACAUAGUCGAGACUCAA
Molecule: long non-coding RNA, 544 nt
Filed under: Citrus maxima (pomelo)
Lineage: Eukaryota; Viridiplantae; Streptophyta; Magnoliopsida; Sapindales; Rutaceae
Description: long non-coding RNA (CMAX_LNC000537)
Source: RNAcentral